This 363-nucleotide ribosomal RNA is filed under the name uncultured bacterium. RNAcentral describes it as "partial 16S ribosomal RNA". It matches the Rfam family "Bacterial small subunit ribosomal RNA", at positions 338 to 699 of the family's 1533-position model. The record is from RNAcentral.
CCUACGGGUGGCAGCAGUGAGGAAUAUUGGUCAAUGGUCGGGAGACUGAACCAGCCAAGCCGCGUGAGGGAUGAAGGUACAGAGUAUCGUAAACCUCUUUUGUCAGGGAACAAAGGCGGGGACGCGUCCCCGGAUGAGUGUACCCGAAGAACAAGCAUCGGCAAACUCCGUGCCAGCAGCCGCGGUAAUAAGGAGGAUGCGAGGGUGGUCGGGAUGUAUGGGGGUGAUAGGGUGGGAGGGGGGUCUGCUAAGCCAGCGGUCAAAGCCCGGGGGUCAACCGGGGCCCGCCGAUGAAACUGGCAGUCUCGAGUAGGGGAGGAGUAUGCGGAAUGCGCGGUGUAGCAGUGAAAUGCAUAGAUAUCG